Rhipicephalus microplus (southern cattle tick) is the source of this 2786-nucleotide long non-coding RNA. Lineage: Eukaryota; Metazoa; Arthropoda; Arachnida; Ixodida; Ixodidae. The record is from RefSeq and is a predicted model, not a curated record.
AGAUAAAUAUAUCAAGAGAGGCCAACUGCCUUAUGAAGCAAGCUCAAUAGCAGCAAUGAACUACGGAGGCCUACAGAUCAGCCGACUGCCAUGGAUAAGCUCAAGAUAAAAAUAAUCACGCGAAAGGUUCAGAACACCAAGCGAAUUCAAGAGGCAAGUGUGCUACUUGAAAAUGAUGGCACGACAUUGCGACUGAUCAAUGCGAUUUACGAGAGGCUCAACAACAAUAAUGAGGAGUUCAACAAGAUGAACGAAGACAUUGAGAGCAACAAAAGAGAUGAAGCCUUCAAAAAGGAGACCGUCGUGGAAUAUGAGGAUAACGCGACCUGCAUAUUAGUCGACCUUCAGAGCAAACGCUGACAGCUCACCGAGACAUCUGUGGUUUCACCAGCUGUUGAAGUUCGCGACGUGCGGCCGGCUAUGCGACCUGCUGGAAGGCCAGGAGCCAAGUUCCCAAAGUUGGCAAAUAAUUAAUCCGCAUGUGAAUCGUGUGCGUGGAAAGCGUUCUGGCUGUAAUUUGAUGAGCUCAUCAACCAGAAUGGAAAUCUCACCUCUUCUCUACUGAAGAGUUUAAUUGUUUGAGACUUUUUGAAAGGAGACGCGACAGCUAUGGCGGGGCUACCUACUACCGAAGUAUGCUAACGAGGAAACCUUAGUCAUGCUGAAAAAAUGCUUCAGCGACAAAAAGCGCUUUGAGCAGGAAUAUUUCUCAAGGCUUCAAAGGCUUACUUCUGUGUGUUCUUCCAAUAAAGUGGCCAAACUCCACAAGCUGUGCGAACAAGUGUUGAUUGGGGGCUCAUAGCGUAUGCAGAUUAUUUUUCUCAUCAACGCUAUGCAACCCUUUGCAAAGGGCUUUGCCACAUGACACCAUCGUUGCCUACCUCAGAUCUUGCACAACAGAACCUGCACGGUUCAUCAUCAACAACUUUCAAGUUCAGCACGUCAUGGAACUAGAUCACCUUGUGCAGUUUGUCUGUAUUUAAAUGGAGAGCCUCAAAAAGAGAGACUUUGGGGAACGGAAAGGAUACGAUGAGGCGGCUGAUCCUAGAAACCGCGAUAAUCCUCAGUUUCACAGCAUUUAUGACACAACCCAUACAGCAUCGGUACUUCAUUGUCAAGUUUCUACUACUCCCACAAAGUUGAGCUGCGCCUUAUGUAAAUUGACGCAGCACUUGACGGAGUGCUGCCGUAGAAACCUACCGCUGCCAAAUAAGAAGCAUAUUCUCUCCACUGACAUGAGCGGCUUUCAAUGCACCAGUAAAAAUUACCGCGCAAGACUGCAGACAUAGAAUUGCACGCUUCGGCUGAAGGGGUCUUCAUGCAUCAAGUAUGUGCGAGCCAGACAAACUAAGGCAAAAGCCUCGUGAAGACAUCAAAGUGACCAGUCAACUCACCUGACCAGAACACAACAAAACACUGACUACCAUGGAAAAGUUAAAGUGGACCUUUCAGGGUAGCACCGAACCCUCCCAGUCAAAGACAUUUGACUCCCGAAUCAUGGACAUGAGCUCCCGGCCUGACAAUUCAAAUGGUAAUGAGUUGCAGGAAAUCAUUGAAAUCACGGAAAAGGGAAGCUGACCCGACUUAAACUCCAUGUUCGAACUAGCAAUAGUGAGAGCCUGGAGCUGGCCUUGCAUGCUAGCCAAAAGUGAAUUAUCCAGGCGAAGCAUAAUGUCCUGCAUGAAGCUCAAAUUCAUAAAAACGAGAAUGAGCUAGCCACUUCAUUGCGAACUAAGAUGGCCGAUUCACGAUUAGAGUUGCGCAAAGAGCAGAUUGCUUUCGACUAGAAACACAGUGCUCAUGCCAGCACAGUGAGGAAACUUCAACGUACGAUUAUUGAUGAACGACCUCAUAGUGAAAGCUGCGAAUGCAAACUUGCAGAAGCCAUGAGGAAAGCUUUGCAGACAGACGUGGAAAAGGAGUACUAAUCCAAAGUAGAGAGACUGAUCCAGGAGUUGAAUCAGGUGCGCAAGUGGCUGCGUGGAUCGGAGGAGAAGCUCUAACUGAUCUUCCCCAUGCUUCUCAAAAUGCAAAUGUUGGACAUAGAACCAUGCCAAGCUGAUUUACAUAAAAGAAAGAAGCAGCAAAGACAUGACUUUGAUUGCCUUCAUAAGCAGACGACAGGAAGCGAGAUGCAGAUGACAAGCCCAGACAUUUGUGUGUAGAGGUUUUCCCAGCCUGCACGAACACAAGAUCAGCUGCGAUUGCAAAUCGAGCAGAUCAGAGAGUGUCUCUUGCUGCUAAGCCAAGAAGACGGAUGCUUGUCAAAUACUGCAAACAUCGAUGCCAAGACUGCCGUACUGCCUUCCUAGGAUAGAAAACCUAAACCUGUGGACAACACUGAACCAUUUUGGAGAAAGGCACCUGCAGCUGUAACAGACAAUGCAGCUCCUGCUUAGAGGCCUGUUGACCUGAUUGCCUUCAUCAGCGAACUAGCAGAAAAGGAAUCAGUCUCCAUGCCAAGUUGUAAGAGAAGCUGCAGCAAAGGACGUAUGAGUCUGAAAAGAAGGCUGACACCUAAAGGCUGUAUCGAGAAAAAUGAAGCAGAAACACACACAAAGGACUUUAAGGAUGCAACACUGAAAGUGCCUUACCACACAGAUAAGACACCACUGCGCGGCUGAGAAUGUGUUGAAUUUCCUGUGUUAGCCUGAGAGAAGAAAGCGACGAGCUUUGUGCCAGUAAGCCAGCGAACGCGUGAGCUCUUUUGAAAGAGAGAAGAGGCCAUUUUUAUCUUCUGUGCUCAUUCAGAUGCUAAUAAACAUCUGUCGGAGUUCUCAAGUCUA